This is a non-coding RNA of Acanthosepion pharaonis, 116 nucleotides long. Lineage: Eukaryota; Metazoa; Mollusca; Cephalopoda; Sepiida; Sepiidae. The record is from the annotation of a GenBank genome assembly.
UUACGGUCACAUCACGAUGAUAACAUCGGUUCCUGUACGAUCAAACGAAGUUAAGCAACGUUGAGCCUGGUCAGUACCUAAAUGAGCAUCCCUUCGAGAAUAUCAGGUGCUGUAAG